GUGGAGCCUUAAAAUCCCAUAAAUCUCCAUCAGCCCGAGUUCACACAUGUCUCCCCCAGCAUUUCUCCUCCUCCCCAGCCCCAUCCUUCCUUCUCGGCCCAGCAGAGAGCAGGUCCUCCGGCGCUGCAGCCCGGGCUGCGGGUGAUGCGGGAGGAGGGAGAGCAUCCCUCGGCCGCCUCUCCCGUGGCUCUCGCCCGGGUACCAUGUGCGGGUGAGCUCGGGAGGCCCGUUGCCAUAACGACUGCUGCUAAAAUGCCCCCCUGCGUGGGGAUGCAAUUGGUUGCGGACGGUCCCUCCUUCGGGGGGGAGCCCGGUGCUGGGGUGCCCUGGGGAGGCUGGAGGGGGGCUGGCGUUGCUGGCAGGCGAUGGGGGAAGGCCCCGGGAGCCCCGGUGGGAAAUGAGGCCGCGCUGCUGGCUGCGUGUCAUCUCUGCACGCUCCCGCCAGCCACGGCUGCUCCCACCAUCCCUCCCUCCCGCCCUGCGCCUGUCGCCUCUCGCUGUCGCCCUGCUCUCCCGGAGCGGGGUCCCUUCUCCCUGGCACUGCCUGGCUGGGAAAGGAGCCUGACUCAUCCCGGCCAGGCCCUGGCAGAUGCUGGAGGCAGCAGCCUCAUCUCAUUGCCCUGUGCCCGCGGAAGGAGGGCGGCACUGCUCCAGACUCAGCACCACGCUCCCGAGUGGUGAGGGGAUCCUGGGAAGGCAGAUCUGCCGCUCCCGCCAUGCCCCAUUUCUUGGAUUGGUUUGUGCCAGUGUACCUGAUGAUCUCCAUUCUCAUCCUGGUGGGCUUUGGAGCUUGCAUUUACUACUUCGAGCCAGGACUCCAGGAAGCCCAUAAGUGGCGAACGCAGAGGCCGAUCAUGGAACGAGACCUUCGGAAGACACUGAUGAUUCGGGACAACCUCGCCUUCGGGGUGCCCGAGGUCUGACACGCUGCCCAUCGAGUCCAGAAGAGCCUCUCCUCUUGGUAGGGAUGACAAUCCUGCCCUGCACAAGCAGGGCUGAUUGUCACUUUGCGCUUUUCUGAUCUAGGUCUCAUACUCACCUUUCUGACCCUUUGCUUCUUAGGCAAGGUUUGUGUGGCACUGCAGGCUCAGGGCUUCCCACGUGCUCACAGCCCUUCACCCAGCCAAGGACUUCUGCUCCUCCCCAUGGCCGAGACUGAUGAAUCACUCAAAUGAAAGGUCCCUUGUUAAUCACUUGAGUUUGAGCCGACUGGCAUCUUGACAUGACCUUCAGUAGGAAAAGUCUCUGCAGGGGUACUAGGCUUGCAAAGGGAGACAGAGCCUUUUACUCCUAUUCACUGGGUUAAAUCUAACCCAGCCUGUUUAAGUCCAGUGGGUAUUUUGGGGGAAAUAAAUGGGAUUUCAACCCAGAUCAUUGCUUCAGCUAAGCUCUUCACCCUUGGUGCUGGGAUGGUAAGCUUGCUGAAGCUCUGUGCAGAGGGGCCAAGGGCUCAGCGAGACCCAGAGACUGAAUGCCUUUAUCCCUGCUAAAGGUGCACUGCUUCUCUGUGUCUGUUUGGGAGAUGGAGAACAUCCAUCCACCCAUCCAUCCAUUCCAGAUGCACUACAUUCAAAUUUAAGAUCUUUACUAAAGAAGUUUGUCCAAGUCCCAUGUCAAGCUGAGAAUAUUCUGCAGCCCUCCAUGAAGGGGUGCUGCCACAGUUAGCACAUAAGCCUCUCCCGAUCCGCCUGACCUUCUGCUCCUCUGCUGCGGAGUGAGAUCGGAUAGUCUGGGAGGUAACUUGCACUUGUUCAGUCCUCUGCACUCCAGAGUCCUAUGGCAUGGAUGGGCUCUUCCUUAACUGUCAUCCCAACGAAAGCUGUGAAGCAUCCCUCGACUCCUUUUCCCUGUAUGUCUCUGAGAAGGGACACUGAGCCUGUUGGCGAAAUGGACCUGUUGCACCACCUCUGCUUUCUGGACUGUAUAAUGUGGGUCUGGCACAAAAUCCCAUGUUCAUAGACUACCUGCACUUUCUGCGCUGCCCUGGGGCUGAUCGGCUACCAAAGUGCUGUGUGAAGGUGUGAUGCUGGGGCUAAGAGGGACGUUCACAUCUUCUCCUUCCCUGCCAGCCCAGUGCAAUGCUCACUGUGUACAGGGAGAUUUGGGAGAGCUCUGAGCCUGUGGUGGGAGGUUGUGUCAAGAGCCUCUCCUCACCUCUCCUCCCACCCCAACACCCACUCUUCGGAUGCCGUAGGUGCAGCGGUGCUACUUGUGAGCGCGCUGGACACAGCGGGGUCCUGUGUGCCCCACUUCUGCAUGUCCCAGGGGUGUCAGCUGGUGCCACCACCCCAUGUCCACAUGUCUGCGCAUCCCAUGCCGUCACAUGGACCUGCCAAUAUCGGGGCGACCCGCAUCCCCAGCAUGCUCCCGGGGUGCCAGCUUUGUGCCGUAGUCCCUGAUGGCUCCUUUGGGCAGCAGGAGUCCCUUGGGCCAACUGCCCAAAUCUGCCACAGAUCCUGGAUGGGCUCGUGUCACCCAGCCUCUCCUGUGAACCUGUCAGCGGAAGUUUUCUCCUCCAUUCCCAAAGAAAGGAGGAGAGUGCACUGGGCUGGUUUGAGUGAGCAAUGCUCCAUUGGUAAUUCUCUGGGGGUGAAAGUUAAUUUUUAGCUCUAUUGGUUUUGGCUGAAAAAGGAAUAGGUCAGGACAUCCUGCAAAUAUCCUGGGUCUUUCUGGGACUUUCCAUCCACUGGAUUGCAAUCGUAUCACCAUUAUCUUCUACACCAAAACCAGGCACACUGGCAGGAGCUUUUUGGCUCUGUUUCAGUCAGAGGACAAGUUGAGAGUCCUUUCAUUCAGCUAAAACCCAGAAAUUGUGAUGCAAGUACCUUAACUGGGGAGUCUCACUCAACAGGGAAAUGCAGUGAGUGGGAUUAUUCCUGUGCCCAAAGUUACGCUCGCCCUGGCAAGCAAAGGCUCAAAGCGCAGGUGCAGCCUGAAACAGGUAAAUCCCACGUAUUUUUAUGCCUUGGUGACUUGGGGCUGCGAAAGGGAAAUGCCUUGGGGCUGGGCUGCAUGGUCUGACAUGCCACCCUCAGCUGCAUGGCUUACGUCCUCUGCCCUCUGGCACAACACAGCCAUAUCUUCAAGCCCCAGCUUGGAAACCUGCUUCCUCACCUCAACUCCCUCGUAGCUGGGACUGCACUGCAAACGGACCACAGCUGAGCCAUGGGGUAGCAAUAAAACCCUCUGUACUGGAGCUGAGGGUCUUGCAGCAGUCAGGGACAGGUUAAACCGUCCCCCUGGGAAGGGGAGCCUGCUCUCCGCAGCCUGCACCAGCGCGGGCUGCUCUGCAAUCGCACCUCCUCCAAACCCACUUUCGGCUGCUGAGUCAAAAGAGAAGAGGGAAAACCACUAGCCUGGUAAAAACGAAAGGCUGGGUCUGCCACCACCACUCUCGGCCAGCUGGCAUCCGUGGUGUGAUGGAGCUCCCCACAGGGGUCCCCCAUCCUCUCCUCUGUGUCCUCCUCUGCACGCUCUCCUGCCUGUUUUCACCUCCGCUCUGCCUGUGACUUGCCGCAGAAACCAAGCAAAAGGAAGAUGACAAACAGGUCAGGGCUGGACUAGAGAAGAACUAGUUAUUCAUCUCCUCCGGCUUAGGUUUCAGACUGUUUAGUCCUGACACAAUCAGUAUUAAGCCAGGUAUUUUCCACGGGUAUGAAGGACUUUAUUGCCAACGGUGUCAAAGCCCUCCCCAGUGGAAUAAAACUGUGUGACAAACA
Long non-coding RNA from Aquila chrysaetos chrysaetos, 3719 nucleotides. RefSeq lists it as uncharacterized. The record is from RefSeq and is a predicted model, not a curated record. NCBI's taxonomy places the organism in Eukaryota, Metazoa, Chordata, Aves, Accipitriformes, Accipitridae. The transcript has 3 exons.